UGGGGAAUCUUGCGCAAUGGGCGAAAGCCUGACGCAGCGACGCCGCGUGGGUGACGAAGGCCUUCGGGUCGUAAAGCCCUGUGGGGAGGGACGAACAAGCAGCAAUGCCCUGACGGUACCUCCUUAGCAAGCACCGGCCAACUCCGUGCCAGCAGCCGCGGUAAGACGGAGGGUGCAAACGUUGUUCGGAAUUACUGGGCGUAAAGCGCGUGUAGGCGGUCCGAAAAGUCGGGUGUGAAAUCCCUCGGCUCAACCGAGUGAAUUGCAUUCGAUACUGCCGGACUGGAGUUCGGGAGAGGGACGUGGAAUUCCCGGUGUAGAGGUGAAAUUCGUAGAUAUCGGGAGGAACACCGGUGGCGAAGGCGGCGUCCUGGACCGAUACUGACGCUGAGACGCGAAA
RNAcentral lists this ribosomal RNA (400 nucleotides) under uncultured bacterium. RNAcentral's name for it is "bacterial SSU rRNA". It matches the Rfam family "Bacterial small subunit ribosomal RNA", at positions 355 to 758 of the family's 1533-position model. The record is from RNAcentral.